Molecule: non-coding RNA, 392 nt
Organism: Microcebus murinus (gray mouse lemur)
Lineage: Eukaryota; Metazoa; Chordata; Mammalia; Primates; Cheirogaleidae
Source: RefSeq, a predicted model, not a curated record
CAGACUCAAGCCGAGCUCCAAGACUCCAGGUUCACGCCGUCUGUCCUGAACAUCUUGGGCAGGAACCCACUGGGGAGGAUGCUCUGAGACUAUCAAGCUCCUACCCCCCUGUCACUCGACCCAGACUGGCCUCUUGAACUGACUAAGGAGAAAGGUCAUGAAGGCAGAAAAGUAAGAGAAAAAAUGUACAUCAAUAUGUUCUAAGUCACUACUCUAUGAAGAUACCUGCAAAGACCCACAUUCUAUUUAAGUACAGCAAUUCUGGGAAAAAAGUGAAGAGAAUGCAGAUAAAGGAAAGAAUGUAACCAUAGGCAUGGACAUGAAGAGAACUGCACUUAUCUGUAGAGAGAAGAACUGAUGUGGAGAUAAUGGGAGAGGUGGCAGGAGCAGAG